RNAcentral lists this long non-coding RNA (225 nucleotides) under Lathyrus oleraceus (garden pea). RNAcentral describes it as "Pisum sativum (pea) long non-coding RNA (PSAT_LNC030139)". Lineage: Eukaryota; Viridiplantae; Streptophyta; Magnoliopsida; Fabales; Fabaceae. The record is from RNAcentral.
AAAUAUUAAUAAAUGAAAAAAUGAUUUUAAAAAAAUGUGAGAAAAAUGUAUGUGAUGCAAAAUAUUUUUAGAGACUUUGUGUACAAAAUUUGAAUAAAAAAUGUUUAAAAAUGAGAGAGAAACUAAUUUGGAAAUAAAAGGAAUAAAAUAUAAUAAAAUAAAAAUAGAAAAGGGCGCCAACGGUCUAGAGAAUUUGAAAAAAUGCGUUGACUAGUUAUGAUUGCU